This is a long non-coding RNA of Corticium candelabrum, 555 nucleotides long. RefSeq lists it as uncharacterized. The transcript has 3 exons. NCBI's taxonomy places the organism in Eukaryota, Metazoa, Porifera, Homoscleromorpha, Homosclerophorida, Plakinidae. The record is from RefSeq and is a predicted model, not a curated record.
UGUGAUAAUUGCUAUGUCCUAGUUGGCCGAGUAAACCUCACAUGUCAGAUAAAUGGACAGUGGGAUGGAAAUCCACCAUUAUGUACAGCGGUUUACUGCUCGCCACUGAUGACACCAUACCAUGGCAAGAAGAGUUCUAACAGCACUGACUGUCAAACAGUUGUUGAGUUUAGUUGUGAUGAUGGCUUUGUCCUUUCGGGACGAUCACAUCUUAUCUGCCAAUCUAAUGGGAAGUGGGACAAUUUGAAUCCUGUGUGUGAAGAUAUGAAUGAGUGUUUAUCAUUUCCCUGCCAGAAUAACGGCAGCUGCCUUAACACGUUUGGUAGCUUUAGAUGCAUCUGUACAGCAUACUUCAUGGGAACAUACUGUCACAUGUGUAUGUUCUGCUUAUUUUAAUGAAUUCCUUGUAAUUUAAUUUAACUUGGUUUACAUUCAGCUACCGGCAACAUGUACUCAUUUGGUACAUCUCAGAAUGAUUUUUCUCUACCAGCAUUAGAUGAUUAUUCUCAUGGUCCAAUUGCUAUUGGAGUCGGUUGUUUUCCUUUUGGCCAACAA